UAUAUUAUGAAAAAGUUUGACUGAAAUAAUUUCGAACUUAUAAAAUCUUGUCAUUUGAUAUAAAAAGAAAUAAACUUCCAGCUAUAUUUAAUUGUUUUUUAUAUAAAACAAGUACAUGUAUGUGAGAAACCUUUCAGGAACAAGUUGUCUACUAUAGCCAGCCAAGCCUUUACUGCAUAUAUGUGCACAUUUUUAGUUGAUGCAUCUAAAAGAUAUAGUUUUGAUUCGGUGUUUCUUUGUUUUCUUUUUAUUCAAAUAAUUUUAAAAUGUGAUGAUGUACACAACAAUAAAUAGUACCUAGUUUAGAGGAUUUUUUCGCGCUUGUUUGUAAACAACGCGCGGCAUUGUGGGAAAUAGGAAGGUACUAAAGACGCGAUGUACUAAACACUUAUUUGACCUGAUUCAAAUUUGUCUGUAAAUGUUCCAAACAAUUGAAUUUUUGUAUAGCAUAUGCCUCGAAGUCAUAAAGUCUGUACAUAAGUAAUUUAAAAUACUCAAUAUUACCAUUUAAUUAAAAAUUAAAACGUCAGGUAAAUAUCAGGUCUCUAGUAUAUCCCGUUUUUAGUGUGCCCCUUCGAGUCGACGUCGGACACAUGUUUGUCAUGGUUUACAAACUGAAAAUAGAAUGAUUUGUGAAGUUGAACAUUUUCUCACAAAGAAUCCGUUUGUAGACAUGCACACUCAUUUAAUCUGGAGCUACGAAGUACUUUGUCACUUCUCUGGAACAUUAUUCUAAGCAGAAUUAUCAAGGAUGAACACUCUUGACUCUGCUUCGGAUUCCCCAGUGAUAAUUGUAUCGAGUGAUGAAAGAGCUGACGGCGACAUUUUAAAGUAUGAUUGGCUUGGACCAUUGGAAUGAAGUCAUUUCAUGGUGCCACCACUUGGGAUGGUAUUAGCUGCAAAUAUAGACUUGUACUCAGCACUUAUUGCCUUUAAGAAGUAUGAGAUCCAUUUUGUGCUAACACCUACCGUGACACAGAAUCUUGGUUUAUGCAGUCUCAUAGGAGUAACCUGUCUAAAGCAUUUAGCAAUGGGAUUGGAACCUGCGACGUGUGACUCAUCUGAAGACUGAAUUUUGAUACCAAGCAUGACCAUGAUUUGCCAGAAGAUCAUCUGUUUGGAUGUGACAUGGAAUAAACAGCAUAGUGAAAAUAAGUCAAGUUUUGGUUUGUGAAGACAAUUUUUAAACACACUGUGUAUCAUUUUUAAAUUUUGAUUUGACAACAUAAAUCCACAAAUAUGAACAUAUCAAUUGCUCUCAGUUUUUCAAGUGAAAUAGUUUUUGUAACAGAAAUACAUGUACCAGUAAUUACAUUGGAAUAAAUGUUAUUUUUAAAUAUAAUAAUAUUUUGUUUGUGUAGCAUGUUGACCUCUUUAUUAAGGUCUUCCCUUUCAAAGUUUAGACUUACUUAUUCUAAUGAUUAAGAUAGAUCCUCUGUCUUCAGCAGGAAUAGAAGAUCUUGUAAUACAUGUAUGUGUAUUUUUUACAGUAUAAUGUAAAAAAAAUUGUUAUUUUGGCACAUACAACUAUUUAAAGGCAUAAACAUGUGUAUGAUUCCAAGGAAUUCAGUACAUAGGGCAUGUACAUGUAGUUUUCUAAAACAAGAUUGAAGAGAUGUCCAGUCGCAUUUCAAUGUCAACUGCAAAACUGUGCCUGUUGCAUAUUUAUUAGCCCAUCUGAGCUAAAGGAACCAGUAAAUUUUUUAAAAACAUAAUUUUAUCCAUUAUCAUCAUUGUCUAAAAUUUCACAAUAUCAUUUUCCAGAACCAAAAUGAAACUUGGCACAGAGCAUCCUUAGUGUAGGGGAUUCAAAUUGUUCUUAUGCAGGGCAAUACCUUCAAAGAGAUUUGUUUCUUUAAUGCUGUAAAUGUAUUAUAUUUAGCUUGUACAAUAUUUGGUGGAAAUUGACUUUUGAAUAAGUUAGCGUAGAUAUUCUUAUUUAUGUUUAUGUACAAGACUUUUAGCUUUGUACUUGAUUUAGUGAUUGCUGCAUUCCGCCAAAGCCGCUAAAAAAGAAUACACAGCCAUAUGUAAUAUGUUUACAAUAUACCUUUCAGAGAAUUUUACACUCCUAUUGAGGUACCACCAGUUGCUAGUGGAAAGCUUCAAAUUCGAAACAUACACAACACAUUUCUGUACGUUUAUUAUAAAAGUAUUGUUCUACUUACUGAUUGCAACUAAUGAAGAUUGUUCAUCAUUAUUGUAAAUACAUUUGGAUUUUUUGAAUUAUUAUAUAAUUUGUUUAUUUUAUUUACCUAGUUAUAUUGUAUAUUAAAUGAUUUUAAAGCCAUUUUUAAGAUGGUAAUGUAGCAAAACACUUAUGUUUCUGUAGUAUGACACGUUUCACAAACAUGAUAUAUCCGAUAUAAAAAGUCAUAAUAUUGGAAGUUAAACUGUUGUGGAUACGAUUUCAAGAAUGCUGUUAGAGAGAGUACCCUUUAGACCUCAUGCUCACACCAAAUUAAAGAAUUCAAGUAAGGGUUUCUGAGACAAAUCGAAAAAGAGAAUGUUAGCAAAGUUGACAAUCUAGACAGAAACAUUUAAUCUUUUGCUUAUCGCUAGGAAGGAAGACCCACUCGUUGCUUUGCAACGAGCUUUGCUCUAGUUAUUCUUAUUU
Saccostrea cuccullata (small rock oyster) is the source of this 2617-nucleotide long non-coding RNA. RefSeq lists it as uncharacterized. NCBI's taxonomy places the organism in Eukaryota, Metazoa, Mollusca, Bivalvia, Ostreida, Ostreidae. The transcript has 3 exons. The record is from RefSeq and is a predicted model, not a curated record.